CCCUAUGGGGUGCAGCAGGGGAGGCGAAGGGGUUCAGGCAGACCUGAGCAUUCUUGGAGGAACAUUUGAUCAGACGAUGGUAAUGAUCAAUGGAAUAAAUUUCACAGACCCUCAGACAGGGCACCAUUCACUAAAUAUUCCGGUUGAAAUAUCACAAAUUGAAAGGGUCGAAAUACUUCAGGGGCCGGGUGCCUGGUCGGAAGGUUCGGUCGCAUAUGCCGGAGCAAUUAACAUCAUUACAAAGAGACCAAAGAAAAUCAGUGCCGGUGCAUCUGUUUCCGGAGGCAGUUACGGAUUUUUCAAGGGAGAGGCAAAUUUAGGGUUCGCGUCUCCGGGACGAUGGUCGGUUUCGGGAAUUGGCGGGGGGGC
RNAcentral lists this ribosomal RNA (369 nucleotides) under uncultured prokaryote. RNAcentral's name for it is "partial 16S ribosomal RNA". The record is from RNAcentral.